UGGGGAAUCUUGCACAAUGGGCGGAAGCCUGAUGCAGCGACGCCGCGUGCGGGACGAAGGCCUUCGGGCUGUAAACCGCUUUCAGCAGGGACGAGGCGAGAGUGACGGUACCUGCAGAAGAAGCCCCGGCUAACUACGUGCCAG
Molecule: ribosomal RNA, 144 nt
Filed under: uncultured bacterium
Lineage: Bacteria
Description: partial 16S rRNA
Rfam family: Bacterial small subunit ribosomal RNA
Source: RNAcentral